CCAUUCUAAAAGUUAUACCCCAGAAGAAUCCUCUACUGUACAAUUCCAUUGCCAGAAAAAAUCAUGAGUACUUCAUCUACAAUAAAUGUAAUCCCAGGAGCUUCUUCUUCAUCUUCAUCAGUAGAUGCUGAAACUCUAAGAAGAAAUCGAAUCCAUUCCAGUAAACUCUAUUUUGAUGUUCCACUCUCUAUGGUCCCUUUAAUUUACUCAUCUUCUUAUGAUAUAGCCUUCUUCGGUAUAGAGAAAUUGCAUCCAUUUGAUUCAUCAAAAUGGGGUCGAAUUUGUCAAUUUCUUAUAAAGGAUGGUGUACUGGAACGAAGUCGGAUUGUUGAGCCUUUGGAAGCUUCAAAUAAUGAUCUCUUAGUGGUACAUUCGGAAUCAUAUUUGAGUAGUUUGAAGAACAGUUAUAAGGUUGCUGUCAUAAUCGAGGUCCCGCCUGUUGGGUUACUACCAAAUUGUCUUGUGCAGCAAAAAGUUCUUUACCCUUUUCGCAAGCAGGUAGGGGGAACUAUUUUGGCAGCAAAGCUUGCAAAAGAGCGGGGAUGGGCAAUUAAUGUUGGUGGAGGAUUUCAUCAUUGCUGUGCUGAUAAAGGAGGUGGAUUCUGUGUCUAUGCAGACAUAUCUCUUUGCAUUAUAUUUGCAUUUACUCGGUUGAAUAUUUCAAGGGUGAUGAUCAUUGACCUUGAUGCGCAUCAGGGGAAUGGACAUGAAAUGGACUUUGGAAAUGAUAGUAGAGUUUAUAUCCUGGACAUGUACAAUCCCGAUAUUUAUCCCUUUGACUUUAAGGCAAGAAUUUACAUUGAUCAGAGUGUCCAAGUACAGAGCGGGACUCCAACAGAAGUGUAUUUGGAACAAUUAGAUAAAGCACUUGAGGUUGCUGGGAAUAAUUUCAAUCCUGAGUUGGUUGUGUACAAUGCUGGCACUGAUAUCCUCGAUGGAGACCCUCUGGGACAGUUGAAGGUGAGCCCUGAUGGAGUAGCCAGUAGAGAUGAGAAGGUGUUCAGAUUUGCCAAAGAAAAGAACAUUCCUCUUGUUAUGCUUACAUCAGGUAUUUCCUUUUGUUAUGCUUACAUCAGGAAAUGAUGAAGGGGGAGGUUUGAUGCAUUCGGCAUAAAUUUUAUGUACCCAUGAAUACAGUCCUGCUUGUGUCUUGCUCAUCCUGAGGUGCUUUAUGGACCACAUUCUCUGAGCAUGGAAUUGGUAGCGAUACUAAGUACAUUCCAUGUCAACUUACUUGGCCAGCUGUACAUGUUGAUAAUCAAAGUUUAAUAAGCAUUUUCAAUGGAUGCAGUGGCGGAGCCAACCCAUGGCAAGGGUUGGCUCCUAAGCCUUUUUUUUUUCCUUUUGCCUACCCUAAAAAUGUUUUGCCUCACCAUAGCAGAUUUUCUGGCGCCGCGACUGAAUGGGUGGUUAUAUGAAAUCAAGUGCCAAAGUUAUUGCAGAUUCAUUAACAAACUUAUCAGCUAAAGGGUUGAUUGAUUUAGCGACUCCUCCCUUGGGAACCUAAAAACCGUAUACCCGAACUUUUUGUUGUGUGGGUAUGUGAGAGUGCAUAGGUAAACAUACCUUUUCUAUGGUAUACGGCGAUAGUACUUUUGGUCGCAACUUGGCACUGAUGUAUAAAUACAGUAGGUAAAUAUACCUUUUCUAUGGUGUACAGCGACAGUACUUUGGUUGGCAACUUGGCACUGAUGUAUAAAUACAGUUCUAAACAGAGCCAGAUAAUCAAUGUCGAAAUGUUUUCUGUACUAUAAAA
RNA transcript from Papaver somniferum (opium poppy), 1756 nucleotides. It is a transcript of the gene named histone deacetylase 2-like, with no coding region annotated. The transcript is spliced from 11 exons. The record is from RefSeq and is a predicted model, not a curated record. Lineage: Eukaryota; Viridiplantae; Streptophyta; Magnoliopsida; Ranunculales; Papaveraceae.